CCGAGUUUACCGACUCCCAACACCCCUGUGAACAUACCGUUUUACGUUGCUUCGGCGGUGCCGCCCCGGGCGCGGGCCUUCUGAAGGCCGCCAGCCCCGGACCCAGGCGCCCGCCGGGGGACCCAAAACCCUCUGUAUUGUCUAGCGGCUUCUUCUGAGUUACGCUCUGCGAGCGGAAAAACGAAUGAUCA
RNAcentral lists this unclassified non-coding RNA (191 nucleotides) under uncultured Hypocreales. Its description in RNAcentral is "sequence contains ITS1". The record is from RNAcentral. Lineage: Eukaryota; Fungi; Ascomycota; Sordariomycetes; Hypocreales.